This 332-nucleotide ribosomal RNA is filed under the name uncultured bacterium. RNAcentral's name for it is "bacterial SSU rRNA". It matches the Rfam family "Bacterial small subunit ribosomal RNA", at positions 568 to 898 of the family's 1533-position model. The record is from RNAcentral.
CGCGUAGGCGGGAUGGCAAGUCGGUCGUGAAAUCCCUCGGCUCAACUGAGGGGCGUCGAUCGAUACUGCCGUUCUUGAGGAUUGCAGAGGAGGCUGGAAUUCCCGGUGUAGCGGUGAAAUGUGUAGAGAUCGGGAGGAACACCGGUGGCGAAGGCGGGUCUCUGGGCAAUUCCUGACGCUGAGGCGCGAAAGCGUGGGGAGCAAACGGGAUUAGAUACCCCGGUAGUCCACGCUGUAAACGAUGACGACUAGGUGUGGGGGGGUUCAGUCCCUUCCGUGCCGCAGCUAACGCAUUAAGUCGUCCGCCUGGGGAGUACGGCCGCAAGGUUGAA